ACGGGUGAGUAAUGUCUGGGAAACUGCCUGAUGGAGGGGGAUAACUACUGGAAACGGUAGCUAAUACCGCAUAACGUCGCAAGACCAAAGAGGGGGACCUUCGGGCCUCUUGCCAUCAGAUGUGCCCAGAUGGGAUUAGCUAGUAGGUGGGGUAACGGCUCACCUAGGCGACAAUCCCUAGCUGGUCUGAGAGGAUGACCAGCCACACUGGAACUGAGACACGGUCCAGACUCCUACGGGAGGCAGCAUG
RNAcentral lists this ribosomal RNA (250 nucleotides) under uncultured bacterium. RNAcentral's name for it is "partial 16S ribosomal RNA". It matches the Rfam family "Bacterial small subunit ribosomal RNA", at positions 102 to 353 of the family's 1533-position model. The record is from RNAcentral.